UGGGGAAUUUUGGACAAUGGGCGAAAGCCUGAUCCAGCAAUGCCGCGUGUGUGAAGAAGGCCUUCGGGUUGUAAAGCACUUUUGUCCGGAAAGAAAUCCUUGGCUCUAAUACAGUCGGGGGAUGACGGUACCGGAAGAAUAAGCACCGGCUAACUACGUGCCAGCAGCCGCGGUAAUACGUAGGGUGCAAGCGUUAAUCGGAAUUACUGGGCGUAAAGCGUGCGCAGGCGGUUUGCUAAGACCGAUGUGAAAUCCCCGGGCUCAACCUGGGAACUGCAUUGGUGACUGGCAGGCUAGAGUAUGGCAGGAGGGGGGUAGAAUUCCACGUGUAGCAGUGAAAUGCGUAGAGAUGUGGAGGAAUACCGAUGGCGAAGGCAGCCCCCUGGGCCAAUACUGACGCUCAUGCACGAAAAGCGUGGGGAGCAAACAGGAUUAGAUACCCUGGUAGUCCACGCCCUAAACGAUGUCAACUAGUUGUUGGGGAUUCAUUUCCUUAGUAACGUAGCUAACGCGUGAAGUUGACCGCCUGGGGAGUACGGUCGCAAGAUUAAAACUCAAAGGAAUUGACGGGGUCAUAGCUGUUUCCU
Molecule: ribosomal RNA, 587 nt
Filed under: uncultured bacterium
Lineage: Bacteria
Description: partial 16S ribosomal RNA
Rfam family: Bacterial small subunit ribosomal RNA
Source: RNAcentral